GACGAACGCUGGCGGCGUGCCUAAUACAUGCAAGUUGAGCGCUGAAGGUUGGUACUUGUACCAACUGGAUGAGCAGCGAACGGGUGAGUAACGCGUGGGGAAUCUGCCUUUGAGCGGGGGACAACAUUUGGAAACGAAUGCUAAUACCGCAUAAAAACUUUAAACACAAGUUUUAAGUUUGAAAGAUGCAAUUGCAUCACUCAAAGAUGAUCCCGCGUUGUAUUAGCUAGUUGGUGAGGUAAAGGCUCACCAAGGCGAUGAUACAUAGCCGACCUGAGAGGGUGAUCGGCCACAUUGGGAAUGAGACAAGGCCCAAAAUCCUACGGGAGGCAGCAGUAGGGAAUCUUCGGCAAUGGACGAAAGUCUGACCGAGCAACGCCGCGUGAGUGAAGAAGGUUUUCGGAUCGUAAAACUCUGUUGGUAGAGAAGAACGUUGGUGAGAGUGGAAAGCUCAUCAAGUGACGGUAACUACCCAGAAAGGGACGGCUAACUACGUG
This 497-nucleotide ribosomal RNA is filed under the name uncultured bacterium. RNAcentral's name for it is "partial 16S ribosomal RNA". It matches the Rfam family "Bacterial small subunit ribosomal RNA", at positions 28 to 507 of the family's 1533-position model. The record is from RNAcentral.